RNAcentral lists this ribosomal RNA (406 nucleotides) under uncultured bacterium. Its description in RNAcentral is "partial 16S ribosomal RNA". It matches the Rfam family "Bacterial small subunit ribosomal RNA", at positions 29 to 526 of the family's 1533-position model. The record is from RNAcentral.
ACGAACGCUGGCGGCUGCUGAACACAUGCAAGUAGAACGGAGUGGCGAACGGGUGAGUAACGCGUGAGCAACCUGCCUCUGACAGUGGGAUAGCCUCGGGAAACCGGGAUUAAUACCGCAUAGUAAUACAUGGGCUCGCGUCUGAUUCGCUAGGUGGUGAGAUAACAGCACACCAAGGCGCCGAUCAGUAGCCGGUCUGAGAGGAUGAACGGCCACAUUGGAACUGAUAGACGGUCCAAACGCCUACGGGAGGCAGCAGUGGGGAAUAUUGCACAAUGGGGGAAACCCUGAUGCAGCGACGCCGCGUGAACGAAGAAGGUAUUCGUAUCGUAAAGUUCUGUCCUAUGGGAAGCAGUACCAUAGAAGAAAGAGCCGGCUAAAUACGUGCCAGCAGCCGCGGUAAUAC